RNAcentral lists this ribosomal RNA (253 nucleotides) under uncultured bacterium. RNAcentral describes it as "partial 16S ribosomal RNA". It matches the Rfam family "Bacterial small subunit ribosomal RNA", at positions 524 to 776 of the family's 1533-position model. The record is from RNAcentral.
UACGGGGGGGGCAAGCGUUGUUCGGAAUUACUGGGCGUAAAGGGCGCGUAGGCGGCCUCCUAAGUCAGACGUGAAAUCCCCCGGCUUAACCUGGGAACUGCGUCUGAUACUGGAAGGCUUGAGGAUGGGAGAGGGAUGUAGAAUUCCAGGUGUAGCGGUGAAAUGCGUAGAUAUCUGGAGGAACACCGGUGGCGAAGGCGGCAUCCUGGACCGGUAUUGACGCUGAGGCGCGAAAGCCAGGGGAGCAAACGGG